AGGUGUACUAGAAUAACUUUCAUGCCUCAACGACCCGAGAGUUUUAUCAUUAUCCUUUCGAAUCGUCUCUGGAUGAUCGUCGAAAAACGGAGGAUUCAAUUGUUGCUCAGGUUUCUUACUCGUCGACUUUUUGUUCCAAUUGUGGUACUACCGGCUUAUUUGGCGGCACUGGAGGAGGAACACCGCGAGAUACUGGUGGCUUUUUCGAGGGCAGCAUACCGGAUGCUUGAAUCGCCGAACCAGAGCCAACAUGAAAACCAAGCUUUCCUGUAGCUUGUGUCGACGGUAUAAGUUUUACCGUGCCUCCAGGAUUUACAGGAGCAGGUACAACCACACGUUUGUCUACAGCCUGAGGAAUGAAUACACAGGAGAUCCGAUUUAACGUUCCGGUUAUCCCUUUGAAGCACCCCCACUAGAAGGGCACAUAUAGACGAUCGCUGCAUUUAAGAUAAUGAUUGAGAACAGAAAGAAAAAAAAAAUGGGGCAGUCGAAAUUAUACCAAAUCACCAA
Long non-coding RNA from Bombus impatiens (common eastern bumble bee), 510 nucleotides. RefSeq lists it as uncharacterized. The record is from RefSeq and is a predicted model, not a curated record. The transcript has 2 exons. Lineage: Eukaryota; Metazoa; Arthropoda; Insecta; Hymenoptera; Apidae.